Molecule: ribosomal RNA, 253 nt
Filed under: uncultured bacterium
Lineage: Bacteria
Description: partial 16S ribosomal RNA
Rfam family: Bacterial small subunit ribosomal RNA
Source: RNAcentral
UACGUAGGGUGCAAGCGUUGUCCGGAUUGACUGGGCGUAAAGCGCACGCAGGUGGCUGAGUCAGUCGAUUGUGAAAGCCCUGGGCUUAACCUGGGAAUUGCAGUCGAUACUACUCAGCUAGAGUAUGGGAGAGGGUAGUGGAAUUCCCGGUGUAGCGGUGAAAUGCGUAGAUAUCGGGAGGAACAUCAGUGGCGAAGGCGGCUACCUGGCCCAAUACUGACACUCAGGUGCGACAGCGUGGGGAGCAAACAGG